CAACGAGCGCAACCCCUAUCUUAUGUUGCCAGCACGUUAUGGUGGGGACUCGUAAGAGACUGCCGGGGUCAACUCGGAGGAAGGUGGGGACGACGUCAAGUCAUCAUGCCCCUUAUGUCCAGGGCUUCACACAUGCUACAAUGGCCAGUACAGAGGGCUGCGAGACCGUGAGGUGGAGCGAAUCCCUUAAAGCUGGUCUCAGUUCGGAUCGGGGUCUGCAACUCGACCCCGUGAAGUCGGAGUCGCUAGUAAUCGCAGAUCAGCAACGCUGCGGUGAAUACGUUCCCGGGCCUUGUACACACCGCCCGUCACGUCAUGAAAGUCGGUAACACCCGAAGCCGGUGGCUUAACCCCUUGUGGGAGGGAGCCGUUCGAAGGUGGGACCCGAAGGCCGUCAUCCCUCACCGGCGUCGCUGCAUCAGGCUUUCGCCCAUUGUGCAAUAUUCCCCACUGCUGCCUCCCGUAGGAGUCUGGGCCGUGUCUCAGUCCCAGUGUGGCCGGUCACCCUCUCAGGUCGGCUACCCGUCGUCGCCUUGGUAGGCCAUUACCCCACCAACAAGCUGAUAGGCCGCGGGCCCAUCCUGCACCGAUAAAUCUUUCCACCACCCACCAUGCGACAGGAGGUCAUAUCCGGUAUUAGACCCAGUUUCCCAGGCUUAUCCCGAAGUGCAGGGCAGAUCACCACGUGUUACUCACCCGUUCGCCGCUCGUGUACCCCGAAAGGCCUUACCGCUCGACUUGCAUGUGUU
Molecule: ribosomal RNA, 749 nt
Filed under: Rhodococcus sp. TD50
Lineage: Bacteria; Bacillati; Actinomycetota; Actinomycetes; Mycobacteriales; Nocardiaceae
Description: bacterial SSU rRNA
Rfam family: Bacterial small subunit ribosomal RNA (bases 1-435)
Source: RNAcentral